UAGCUCAGUGGUAGAGCAUUUGCUUCACAUGCACCAAGGCCUUGGGUUCAAUUCCCAG
RNAcentral lists this transfer RNA (58 nucleotides) under Ictidomys tridecemlineatus (thirteen-lined ground squirrel). RNAcentral's name for it is "Spermophilus tridecemlineatus (thirteen-lined ground squirrel) tRNA". It matches the Rfam family "tRNA", at positions 8 to 63 of the family's 71-position model. Rfam says of the family: Transfer RNA (tRNA) molecules are approximately 80 nucleotides in length. Their secondary structure includes four short double-helical elements and three loops (D, anti-codon, and T loops). Further hydrogen bonds mediate the characteristic L-shaped molecular structure. tRNAs have two regions of fundamental functional importance: the anti-codon, which is responsible for specific mRNA codon recognition, and the 3' end, to which the tRNAs corresponding amino acid is attached (by aminoacyl-tRNA synthetases). tRNAs cope with the degeneracy of the genetic code in two manners: having more than one tRNA (with a specific anti-codon) for a particular amino acid; and 'wobble' base-pairing, i.e. permitting non-standard base-pairing at the 3rd anti-codon position. RNAcentral also lists the same sequence under 1 other name. The record is from Rfam by way of RNAcentral. Lineage: Eukaryota; Metazoa; Chordata; Mammalia; Rodentia; Sciuridae.